GGGCCCGUGGCUCAGCGGCGACAGCACCUGCUUUGCAAGCAGGCAGGCGAGGGUUCGAGUCCCUCCGGGUCCACCA
RNAcentral lists this transfer RNA (76 nucleotides) under Betaproteobacteria bacterium. RNAcentral's name for it is "tRNA-Ala". It matches the Rfam family "tRNA". From Rfam's summary of the family: Transfer RNA (tRNA) molecules are approximately 80 nucleotides in length. Lineage: Bacteria; Pseudomonadati; Pseudomonadota; Betaproteobacteria. The record is from RNAcentral.